Molecule: ribosomal RNA, 500 nt
Filed under: uncultured bacterium
Lineage: Bacteria
Description: bacterial SSU rRNA
Rfam family: Bacterial small subunit ribosomal RNA
Source: RNAcentral
AUGAACGCUAGCUACAGGCUUAACACAUGCAAGUCGAGGGGCAGCAUGAAUCAAGCUUGCUUGAUUGAUGGCGACCGGCGCACGGGUGCGUAACACGUAUCCAAUCUACCCAUGGCUCAGGGAUAGCCUUUCGAAAGAAAGAUUAAUACCUGAUGGUUUCAUGAGCCCGCAUGGACUUAUGAAUAAAGAUUUAUCGGCGAUGGAUGAGGAUGCGUCCGAUUAGAUAGUAGGCGGGGUAACGGCCCACCUAGUCGACGAUCGGUAGGGGCUCUGAGAGGAGGAUCCCCCACAUUGGAACUGAGACACGGUCCAAACUCCUACGGGAGGCAGCAGUGAGGAAUAUUGGUCAAUGGGCGAGAGCCUGAACCAGCCAAGUAGCGUGAAGGGAUGACUGCCCUAUGGGUUGUAAACCUCUUUUGUUUGGGAAUAAAGUGAGCCACGUGUGGCUUUUUGUAUGUACCUUACGAAUAAGCAUCGGCUAAUUCCGUGCCAGCAGCAGC